Molecule: ribosomal RNA, 492 nt
Filed under: uncultured bacterium
Lineage: Bacteria
Description: bacterial SSU rRNA
Rfam family: Bacterial small subunit ribosomal RNA
Source: RNAcentral
AACGAACGCUGGCGGCAGGCUUCAUACAUGCAAGUCGAGCGGGCGUCUCUUUUCGGAGUAGGCGUUAGCGGCGAACGGGUGAGUAACAGGUGGAUAAUCUGCCUCCUGGCGGGGGAUAACGGCUGGAAACGGCCGCUAAUACCGCAUGUGAUUGCCGGGUCCAUGCCCGGCAAAGAAAGGCGCUUCACGGCGUCACCAGGAGAUGAGUCCGCCCCCCAUUAGCUAGUUGGCGGGAUAACAGCCCACCAAGGCUUCGAUGGGUAGCCGAGCUGAGAGGUUGAUCGGCCACACUGGAACUGAGACACGGUCCAGACACCUACGGGUGGCAGCAGUAGGGAAUAUUGGACAAUGGGCGAAAGCCUGAUCCAGCCAUGCCGCGUGAGUGAUGAAGGCCUUCGGGUCGUAAAGCUCUUUUCUGAGGGAAGAACAGCCGGGGGAGGAAAUGUCCCCGGCCUGACGGUACCUUAGGAAUAAGGGACGGCUAACUCCGUG